RNAcentral lists this ribosomal RNA (444 nucleotides) under Naganishia albida. RNAcentral's name for it is "eukaryotic LSU rRNA". The stretch from base 32 to 185 matches the Rfam family "5.8S ribosomal RNA". Lineage: Eukaryota; Fungi; Basidiomycota; Tremellomycetes; Filobasidiales; Filobasidiaceae. The record is from RNAcentral.
GUAACAAAGUAGUCUUAUUAUAACAUAAUAAAACUUUCAACAACGGAUCUCUUGGCUCUCGCAUCGAUGAAGAACGCAGCGAAAUGCGAUAAGUAAUGUGAAUUGCAGAAUUCAGUGAAUCAUCGAAUCUUUGAACGCACCUUGCGCUCCUUGGUAUUCCGAGGAGCAUGCCUGUUUGAGUGUCAUGAAAACCCUCAACCCUAGAUUGGUUAAAACCUUUCUUUGGUUUGGAUUUGGACGUUUGCCGAUGAUAAGUCGGCUCGUCUUAAAAGUAAUAGCUGGAUCUGUCUCGCGACAUGGUUUGACUUGGCGUAAUAAGUAUUUCGCUAAGGACAUCUUCGGAUGGCCGCGUUGCAGGACUAAAGACCGCUUUCUAAUCCAUUGAUCUUCGGAUUAAUACUCUUGACAUCUGGACCUCAAAUCAGGUAGGACUACCCGCGACUA